This 211-nucleotide ribosomal RNA is filed under the name Listeria booriae. RNAcentral's name for it is "partial 23S ribosomal RNA". It matches the Rfam family "Bacterial large subunit ribosomal RNA", at positions 1 to 208 of the family's 2925-position model. Lineage: Bacteria; Bacillati; Bacillota; Bacilli; Caryophanales; Listeriaceae. The record is from RNAcentral.
AUGGUUAAGUUAGAAAGGGCGCACGGUGGAUGCCUUGGCACUAGGAGCCGAAGAAGGACGGGACUAACACCGAUAUGCUUUGGGGAGCUGUACGUAAGCGUUGAUCCAGAGAUUUCCGAAUGGGGGAACCCACUAUCUUUAGUCGGAUAGUAUCCUUACGUGAAUACAUAGCGUAAGGAAGGCAGACCCAGGGAACUGAAACAUCUAAGUA